This 422-nucleotide ribosomal RNA is filed under the name uncultured bacterium. RNAcentral describes it as "bacterial SSU rRNA". It matches the Rfam family "Bacterial small subunit ribosomal RNA", at positions 355 to 774 of the family's 1533-position model. The record is from RNAcentral.
UGAGGAAUAUUGGGCAAUGCCCGAAAGGGUGACCCAGCAACGCCGCGUGGAGGAUGAGGGUCGUAAGAUUGUAAACUCCUGUUAGAGGGGAAGAAUAACUAAGUUUGGAGCUUAGUAUGACUGUACCCUCAGAGAAAGCCCCGGCUAACUACGUGCCAGCAGCCGCGGUAAUACGUAGGGGGCAAGCGUUGUCCGGAUUUACUGGGUGUAAAGGGCGCGCAGGCGGAAUGGAAAGUCAGUGGUGAAAUCCUACAGCUUAACUGUAGAACUGCCUUUGAUACUUUCAUUCUUGAGUUCGGGAGAGAGAGACGGAAUUCCAGGUGUAGUGGUGAAAUACGUAGAUAUCUGGAAGAACACCAGUUGCGAAGGCGGUCUCUUGGUCCGAUACUGACGCUGAGGCGCGAAAGCGUGGGGAGCAAACA